CUUUGCGCAGAAGGCUCCCCUCCCAGUGCGACCAUGAAGGGAAAGCGUAAAAAAAAACGACAGACGGCGAAAAGCAGAGCAAAGGGUCCUCCUGUAGUAAAAGAAGCCAGUCGAUUUGGAAGCACUUUUCAACGAAUUCUUUCUUCCGGAAGUUGAA
Non-coding RNA from Caenorhabditis elegans, 157 nucleotides. The record is from Ensembl. Lineage: Eukaryota; Metazoa; Nematoda; Chromadorea; Rhabditida; Rhabditidae.